This is a long non-coding RNA of Larimichthys crocea (large yellow croaker), 1740 nucleotides long. RefSeq lists it as uncharacterized. NCBI's taxonomy places the organism in Eukaryota, Metazoa, Chordata, Actinopteri, Sciaenidae. The transcript is spliced from 3 exons. The record is from RefSeq and is a predicted model, not a curated record.
CUCGAGUAACGUUAGUCGUGAGUCAGAGGCGACGACAAGUGUCACCGAGGCUGCUGCUGUCGCCCUACUGAAUGAGGACUUCCGUUUCCGUUUUGUAAACAAGAGCUGAUAAUAGCCUCUGUUAAGCCUGAUCCAAUGCAGGUCAGCCCUGCCCAAAAACAUGCAGGACGAGGAAGCUCCAAAGAAAGGACGGUCACAUACAAUAUGGCAGAAAAUACUCUCUCUUAAGCCUGACACAAAGCAGGACAUCAUAGAUGCAAUGAUGCAAGAUCAGGAAGGUUUUAAAAUAGAGCUGGAGUCCCUGAAAAUCACCCUAACGGAGUAUAAAGAGCUAAACAAGGAGCUGUCCUUACACAAUGCCGCCCUGAGGAGAAGGAUUGUGUGCUGAGGACGUAAAACAGGUCAUCCUGGAAAAAGAUGACCUGAUAAAGAAAAUAUCAGCAGAGAAAACAGCUCUGAACGAUCAGCUCAAGUGUGAGCAGGCUGCAAAGGAGGCAAGCUUUAAAAAAAAUUACUCCAAGACAAUAGCAGAAAAGUGGAGGAGCAGUGGUGCAAAAAAAAAAAAGCCAACGAAAUGGACCAAGAGAUGAAGCUCCUGAUCCAACAAAAAACAUUUCAGGUACCUUCAUUUGGAUUCUUAAAAUGUUUGAUUAUAACAGUUUUUCAGGUUAAGUUUAAGACAAAAAAUACUCACUGUGUGCUCUGUCUUUUUAGGAGCUUACUCUAAAACGCAACAAGGAGAAGAUGGAGAUGAAAAAAGAGGAAGAACAGGCAAAGAAAGAAGCAAAGAAGAAACUGAAGAAGAAUGAUAAGUCCUCUUCUCAUAAAGCGUACCAGCCUUCCUUCCUCUAAUCACCAACUUCUCCCCUUUCCUACCAACUUUCCCCACCUCUUCGCUAUGAACUUCUGUCACCCUGCCCAUUUCUUACCCACUUUGUCCCGUUUAUCCCCAUCCUCUUCCCCCUUCCUACUAACUUCUACAUCAACCCCGUCUCCUGUCUCUACCCGUACUGAGUUUGAGAGCUUGCGGUCAAUAAUCUUAGUCCAGUCAGCAGGAUAUUAAAAUUUAACAGGUUUUUGUCCCUUGAGGGCAAAAGAACACUGUCAGUUCAUAGUCAUCAGCAACAUUAUUGCUGAGUGUUUGUGGCCAUAUGGUAAAUUCAAAUCCAAUAUUCACUCUUAGCUAUGCUUUUGGUCUACCUACUCCUGAAGAAAACAUCUGGCUCUUUAACUGCUAAAUGCAUCAUCUUGAGUUGGUCAUUAACUGUCUGCUGAGCAGGUUGUGUACAGAGGAUUUUUAGAUUUUAAUGAACCACCAUGCAAGCAAGCAACUUUAUGGAAAAGAUGAUUGAUGUGAAGUAGGCCAGAGACCAAACUUUUUUAAAAAGCAUGUUUAUUUUACAUAUGCUUUAUAUACACAUUGAGCAAUCACAUUGUACAAUAUACAGUGUUGAUACACACUUUAUGGGCCCUGCUCUAAGCCACAUCUGGCAGUUAGACAGUCUCCACUGCACACAUUUUGAUGGUCUGUUGAUCAGGUGCCAGCUGUCAAGAAAGCAAUGUAGGGUCUGAUGUGCUAAUUUAGACUUUCCUUUAGACAUCCUUUCAGCAGCAACUGAGUCACAUGUUACAGCGAAGAUCUUUUUUCCCCACUUGUGCUGUCAAAAUGUCUGCAGUGAAAAAAGGCUAUACUGCAUAGUUCUGAAGGCCUCUUUAAAGAGAAAAGCUUAAAAUUAUUUU